Long non-coding RNA from Mizuhopecten yessoensis (Yesso scallop), 335 nucleotides. RefSeq lists it as uncharacterized. The transcript is spliced from 3 exons. The record is from RefSeq and is a predicted model, not a curated record. NCBI's taxonomy places the organism in Eukaryota, Metazoa, Mollusca, Bivalvia, Pectinida, Pectinidae.
UGUUGAACGUCGAUCGGAAGCUUAAGCUUGUGAAGACGUCUAAAUAUCCUCUUCUGACUUGAUACGUUACUAGCAGAAUAGACUGCCAGCAACGGACUCCGGUUGCGCAGCUCGUGGCGCACGGACCUCUAUCCUACUCAGAACAAACGCAACUCACAACAAACCGGUACCGAGGAUAUACCUGUGUUUACCUGUUGCACGUGAGCCGUCAAUAACGUAAUACCCAGACUUCUUGUGACGCUGACUGAAGCAAGAAAAUACAGUAAGAAUGGACGAUGAUAUCUUGAAAGACGCGGGUUUAUUCCAUGUCACUCGAAUAUUCACAGAAAAUACUG